This 220-nucleotide long non-coding RNA is filed under the name Capsicum annuum. RNAcentral's name for it is "long non-coding RNA (CANN_LNC010266)". Lineage: Eukaryota; Viridiplantae; Streptophyta; Magnoliopsida; Solanales; Solanaceae. The record is from RNAcentral.
UAUGGUAUAGAGUAUGCUUUACAUACCUGACUGUCAACCUUCAAUACUAGUCCCAAAUGGACUUCCCAUCUUUUCAGAUUACUUAUCUACAAUGAACAUAUAUAGCAAUCUAGUAUUAGCAACCAAACGUCACAAUUCAAUUAUUUGAAUUCACCAAACUAGUGGUUAAGUAGUAAGCCUUAAUUACACCAUAAAGGGUGUCACUUUAACCCUCUUCUAC